AUGCAGUCAGAUGAUGUGAGUCUCCUCCAGUUGUUCUUACACCCGGGGUUUGCGCAGGGAAUUUUGCCCAUUUUCGGACACUUAGAAAACGCGUACACAGCGGGUCUGUUGCCUCGUGCCGCUCUGGAUGCGAGGCUUCCGGAACCCCGAUUUUCCAACAUAGGGUUCUCACGCGUGUCUAGCAGGGGUUUCCUGCCCGCUGCCCCGGCCGGGUUGUGAGCACAGGACUCCGUCACCUCAGCCCAUGGGGUCGAUGUGUCCCGUCCUUCGUGCCUACCAAUGCAGGACGUCGCGCCAUGCUGUCAGCUCCGGACUUGGGGUGGGGGGCGGCCCGGGAUUUGGCGAAGCUGACUCCCAAGUUUAAGCGUCCUUCUCAUCCAUGUGCGCGUUACUCUUCCAUCUGCGUUUCCUGUGUUAUCUGGGAUACACUAGGAAACAAGCAAUUUUGUUCCUUCAAAAUAAGAACCAAGACUCAGAGCUUCUGCCGAAAUGAAUAUAGCCUGACUGGACUGUGUAAUCGGUCAUCCUGUCCCCUGGCAAAUAGUC
Molecule: small RNA, 546 nt
Filed under: Pan troglodytes (chimpanzee)
Lineage: Eukaryota; Metazoa; Chordata; Mammalia; Primates; Hominidae
Description: retained intron
Source: RNAcentral